This 233-nucleotide long non-coding RNA is filed under the name Vigna radiata. RNAcentral's name for it is "long non-coding RNA (VRAD_LNC017644)". Lineage: Eukaryota; Viridiplantae; Streptophyta; Magnoliopsida; Fabales; Fabaceae. The record is from RNAcentral.
AAAUUCUUUCGAUGUGGGACUUAAUUACCUGUUAUAAUUAUAAUACACAAAUACCUUGUUUUUUCAAUGNUGUUGGGNUGUUGGGCUCCCUUCCUAUGUUGAGNAUAGACCCAAAUAAUGUGGACCAUUAUGUGUCACUAGGUUUAGGGGAUAUGGGUCAGAUUAGAAGGGCACAUUAGAGUCAUUUGAAGAGAGGAAAAAACCAAGUGAGAAUGAUAAGAAGAGAUAAAGUC